CGUCAAAGCUUAAUUCUGUUUUAAUCAUCAAUCCCUCAAACCCCCAAAGAACCCCUAAUCAGUACUGAGCGAUCUCAUACCCCUAUGAGACCCUUUAUGUUAAAACUAGUAACAAGAUGGUAACCCUCUCUUAUAUGUAAACAUAUGUCAGAACAGACAACCUACUGACCCAUAACAACCAUAAAUUUUAGUUACACCACACUUAGAAAACCUUACUCAAUCAGCUGUUAACCUUACACAAGAACAUAAAAAGAAAGAUUAUAAGAAAAAGAAGGAACUCGGCAAAUUUCGAUUCCGCCUGUUUACCAAAAACAUCGCCUCCUGCCAAACUAUAGGAGGUCCAGCCUGCCCAGUGACCCAGUUUAACGGCCGCGGUAUCCUGACCGUGCGAAGGUAGCGUAAUCACUUGUUUUUUAAUUAAAGACCUGUAUCAAAGGCAUCACGAGAAUCGUACUGUCUCCUUUUUCCAAUCAGUGAACCUAAUCUCCUCGUGAAAAAGCGAGGAUAACCAUACAAGACGAGAAGACCCUUUGGAGCUUUAGAUAAAGUAAAAUUCUGCUCUUUUUCCCCUUCUCCUAUAUUUAACCAGCAUUUAUUCUACAAAUCUUCGGUUGGGGCAACCACGGAGAAAAAAAUAACCUCCAAGAUGAAUGGAAUUAUCCUAAACAAAAAGCCACACCUUUAUGUAUCAAUAAAUUGACAUUAUGACCCAAUACUUUGAUUAUCGAACCAAGUUACCCUAGGGAUAACAGCGCAAUCUAUUUCGAGAGUCCAUAUCGACAAAUAGGCUUACGACCUCG
This 800-nucleotide ribosomal RNA is filed under the name Eleutherodactylus gryllus. RNAcentral's name for it is "partial 16S ribosomal RNA". It matches the Rfam family "Bacterial large subunit ribosomal RNA", at positions 1567 to 2528 of the family's 2925-position model. The record is from RNAcentral. Lineage: Eukaryota; Metazoa; Chordata; Amphibia; Anura; Eleutherodactylidae.